AGUUAAAAAGCUCGUAGUUGGAUUUCUGGUUGAAGCGACCGGUCGGGCGUUGAUUCGUCUGCACUGGAGUCGGUUUUGGCCAUCCUCUAGGAAAGUGCGUCUGGUAUUAAGUUGUCGGGCGUAUGAUCCUGGUCUUUUACUGUGAAAAAAUUAGAGUGUUUAAAGCAGGCCUUCGCCUUGAAUACAUUAGCAUGGAAUAAUAAGAUAGGACUUUGGUCUAUUUUGUUGGUUUGCAGACCGAAGUAAUGAUUAAUAGGGAUAGUUGGGGGUAUUUAUAUUCCGAUGUCAG
RNAcentral lists this ribosomal RNA (289 nucleotides) under uncultured eukaryote. RNAcentral describes it as "partial 18S ribosomal RNA". It matches the Rfam family "Eukaryotic small subunit ribosomal RNA", at positions 617 to 908 of the family's 1831-position model. The record is from RNAcentral.